Salvia miltiorrhiza (redroot sage) is the source of this 667-nucleotide long non-coding RNA. RefSeq lists it as uncharacterized. The transcript has 2 exons. Lineage: Eukaryota; Viridiplantae; Streptophyta; Magnoliopsida; Lamiales; Lamiaceae. The record is from RefSeq and is a predicted model, not a curated record.
UCAAGUAAUUUGUAAUUAUAUGGUCUGAAACUGUCUAUUUUUGGUACAUUAUACUAAAUUGUACACAUCUCAUUACCUAAUAACUAUUUUAAUUCAUAGUUUCCUCUAAAAGAAAAUAGACAUCUAGAGGUUUUCAAAAUCAUAUGUCAUAUUCUCUGAUUCAUUUUCAAUGAAUUGAUAAUAUGUUUUGAAGUUGAGUGAAAUACGAAAGGUUGAUUAUGUACUUUGCAUUUAGUUGAGAAAUUAUGUUACUAUUGAGUAAAAAGCAUGCAUACUCAUAAUAUACUAAAACUUUAUAAUUUAUUAAGUCAGUGUUGCGAAUCUAGGAUUGAAGUAUAGACCUAUGAUGAAGAGUAGAUUAUAUAUGAUAAUGUUGUAGCUUUAGUUUAUCGACACUAAACCUAAGGUUUAUAUUGUAGGCCCAACUGAAGAAGAUACCUAAGUGGAACCACUCUAUAGCGAGACCAAAACCAUCUUGUAUAUCAGGUUGAGCGGCGGAUGUGGAGUGUGGUGCUGAGAUGAAGAUCCUUUUUUCUAUUGUAUAUAACUAGUUCCUUUAAUGGAACAACUCUUUUGUGUAUCUCCACCCGCUUCAUAUUUUGUAAAUCAUAAUGACUCUUGUACGCUUUGCUAAUGUAAAUUAUUGUUAUCUUACACUUUGGGUUCA